ACGCGUUGGGAGCUCUCCCAUAUGGUCGACCUGCAGGCGGCCGCGAAUUCACUAGUGAUUCGUAUUACCGCGGCUGCUGGCACAGAGUUAGCCGGUGCUUAUUCUGUCGGUAACGUCAAAACAGCAAAGUAUUAAUUUACUGCCCUUCCUCCCAACUUAAAGUGCUUUACAAUCCGAAGACCUUCUUCACACACGCGGCAUGGCUGGAUCAGGCUUUCGCCCAUUGUCCAAUAUUCCCCACUGCUGCCUCCCGUAGGAGUCUGGACCGUGUCUCAGUUCCAGUGUGACUGAUCAUCCUCUCAGACCAGUUACGGAUCGUCGCCUUGGUGAGCCAUUACCCCACCAACUAGCUAAUCCGACCUAGGCUCAUCUGAUAGCGCAAGGCCCGAAGGUCCCCUGCUUUCUCCCGUAGGACGUAUGCGGUAUUAGCGUCCGUUUCCGAACGUUAUCCCCCGCUACCAGGCAGAUUCCUAGGCAUUACUCACCCGUCCGCCGCUCUCAAGAGAAGCAAGCUUCUCUCUACCGCUCGACUUGCAUGUGUUAGGCCUGCCGCCAGCGUUCAAUCUGAGCCAUGAUCAAACUCUAAUCGAAUUCCCGCGGCCGCC
Molecule: ribosomal RNA, 605 nt
Filed under: uncultured Gammaproteobacteria bacterium
Lineage: Bacteria; Pseudomonadati; Pseudomonadota; Gammaproteobacteria
Description: partial 16S ribosomal RNA
Source: RNAcentral